RNAcentral lists this ribosomal RNA (450 nucleotides) under uncultured bacterium. RNAcentral's name for it is "partial 16S ribosomal RNA". It matches the Rfam family "Bacterial small subunit ribosomal RNA", at positions 354 to 796 of the family's 1533-position model. The record is from RNAcentral.
GUGGGGAAUCUUCCGCAAUGGACGAAAGUCUGACGGAGCGACGCCGCGUGAGUGAAGAAGGCCUUCGGGUCGUAAAGCUCUGUCAUCAGGGACGAACGGCCGGUGGAGUGGAAAGCCACCGGAUUGACGGUACCUGAGAAGGAAGCCACGGCUAACUACGUGCCAGCAGCCGCGGUAAUACGUAGGUGGCAAGCGUUGUCCGGAAUUAUUGGGCGUAAAGCGCGCGCAGGUGGGAUCUUAAGUCCAUUUUGAAAGUUCGGAGCUCAACUCCGUGAUGGGAUGGAAACUGGGAUUCUUGAGUACCGGAGAGGAAAGCGGAAUUCCCCGUGUAGCGGUGAAAUGCGUAGAUAUGGGGAGGAACACCAGUGGCGAAGGCGGCUUUCUGGACGGUGUCUGACACUGAGGCGCGAAAGCUAGGGGAGCGAACGGGAUUAGAUACCCUUGUAGUCC